Molecule: long non-coding RNA, 440 nt
Filed under: Haliotis rubra (blacklip abalone)
Lineage: Eukaryota; Metazoa; Mollusca; Gastropoda; Lepetellida; Haliotidae
Description: uncharacterized LOC124264643, transcript variant X16
Source: RNAcentral
UGGUCAGACACUAGCACAGGAGGAGGGGGAUGGUCAGACACUAUUACAGGAGGAGGGGAGGGGGGGUGGUCAGACACUAGCACAGGAGGAGGGUGGUGGUCAGACACUAGCACAGGAGGGGGGUGGUCAGACACUAGCACAGGAGGAGGGUGGUGGUCAGACACUAGCACAGGAGGAGGGGGGUGGUCAGACACUAGCACAGGAGGAGGGGGGUGGUCAGACACUAGCACAGGAGGAGGGUAGUGGUCACACACUAGCACAGGAGGGUAUGGUCACACACUAGCAGAGGAGGAGGGGGAUGGUCAGACACUAGCACAGGAGGAGGGGGAUGGUCAGACACUAGCACAGGAGGAGGGUAUGGUCACACACUAGCAGAGGAGGAGGGGGAUGGUCAGACACUAGCACAGGAGGAGGGUAGUGGUCACACACUAGCACAGGAG